AGGAUGACAAUAGAGAUGAUGGCCAUCUCCGGACUGAGCCACGGGAAGAGCCGCUGCAGCUGACCGCACUGACCAAUCAGCUGUGGACUGAAUGAGCCUCACCUGCCACUGGCCAAUGCUCUCCACUCGGAGUCCGAACGGCCUCUGCAGCCCGGUGCACAGCUUAAAGGCGUCGCUGCGGAUCUCAAUGAUGUUGUUGAUGAGCGCACACAUGGCCGCCAGAGGAAAGGCAGAGGAGAAGAGAACCACGUAGCCAAACUGGACAAACAUCUCCUGGUAGUCCUGGAAGGUGUCCUAAAAAACAGGUCUCGUGCCCCUCAGUCCGGAUCCAGGCACGGUCGGGUCCGUUGGCGAAGCCUGGACCUUCCCGGCCGCCAGCCGGGCGUAUUUGAGCAACACGGAGAGCAGCAGGUCCCACACGGCUCUCAUCGACAGCUCCCCCAGCUUGUGGCGCUCGUACAGAGAUGUGGUCGACCCUCGGCUCAGUGGAUGGGUUUUGAAGGUUAAAUGAAGACACAGAAGGACAUAGCCAUUAAAUUAAUUCAGCGCCCCAGUGACUGAGGAUGGAUUCAGGAAAGGAUUAGGAAAACACGGAAGACGGAUGGAGACAAUCUAAGACUCCAGAGAAGAAAAUCCUUCCAAGUCUCCACUGAAUGAAGAAGUCGGCGCUCCUGCUGCUGCGUUAGCUGACUGACAGCGACACAUAGUGUUCGUGACCCAUUCAAACACCCGGUGGUGCCACCUUCUUAGGAGGAUGACAUCAGCGUGCUCGUCCAGUCAGCUGCUGCCUGCUCAGGUUACCUCCUCCGACAGUGGAAAGGAGUUCUCAUGUGCUGCUGACAGCUCCACUGCAUCACUCUGCAGCAGUGCUGGCAUCGCACACGGAGGCCGUCUCUGCACCCUGCAUGCAGGAAAACAGUCCAGCCAAGGCUUCCCCUAACGAUGAGUUGACAGAUUCUCCCACCUGAGCUGUGAAUCUCUGCAGCUCCUCCAGAGUUAACACCAGCCUGCUAUUUUUAUCAUUUCCAAUAACCUGCAAAUUAAAGUGGACGGCCCUGUUUUGCCACUCUGUCAGGUUGACGGCCCUCCCCUUGGUAUCAUGGUUCACAACUCAGAGGCAAGUCCAGUUGGAGCAGAAUUUCUGCUUACUCACCAGCUCAGAGGGUUGAUAGCUGCAAGACUCUGCAGUGGGCCACAAACUCACAUCAGUGCACAUGAAGUCUGGACGCUGUGACUUUAUUCUGCGGCAUGCGCGAUUGUUGUGUGUUUAAACAAUGAUUAAAACAUUGUGAAUAACAGAGACUGAGGCAAGCCAAAACCAUAAAUAUCUAUGUAAGCAACACAAAACAAAGGAUUCAGCUUACAAUGAUUUUGAUUACAUUGAGGUCUAAGAAAACAGAAUACAAACACAUUCACUGCUUUCUAUUGUAGAUUUGGAAAUAUUCACCACAUUUAGUUCUGUCUGAUGAUUUCCAUUUGGUAUAAUGACUGACUUAUGUGAAUGAUGUUUCAUUCAUGAGGUCAUAUGCUUUUUGAAGGCUGCAGACAUGAGAAACUCCUUGCAAACUGAAUCAUUUACUUAGUCAUGUGCACCUCUUAUAUAUUUAUGUUUUUCAUGGUUCCUUUGUUGAACUGCACCAUCAAUCUAUCACUGAGGCUAAUUAAAGAAAACCUAACCUUGUCUUUUUGAUUGUCUAUUGUAUCAUUUAUGAUCUGUUUGAAC
Molecule: long non-coding RNA, 1723 nt
Organism: Gambusia affinis (western mosquitofish)
Lineage: Eukaryota; Metazoa; Chordata; Actinopteri; Cyprinodontiformes; Poeciliidae
Exons: 8
Source: RefSeq, a predicted model, not a curated record